This 301-nucleotide ribosomal RNA is filed under the name uncultured bacterium. RNAcentral's name for it is "partial 16S ribosomal RNA". It matches the Rfam family "Bacterial small subunit ribosomal RNA", at positions 509 to 807 of the family's 1533-position model. The record is from RNAcentral.
CAGUCGCCGCGGGAAUACGUAGGGUGCGAGCGUUAAUCGGAAUUACUGGGCGUAAAGCGUGCGCAGGCGGUUGUGUAAGACGGGUGUGAAAUCCCCGGGCUUAACCUGGGAACUGCGCUUGUGACUGCACAGCUAGAGUAUGGCAGAGGGGGGUGGAAUUCCACGUGUAGCAGUGAAAUGCGUAGAGAUGUGGAGGAACACCGAUGGCGAAGGCAGCCCCCUGGGCCAAUACUGACGCUCAUGCACGGAAGCGUGGGGAGCAAACAGGAUUAGAUACCCCCGUAGUCCCUGUCUCUUAUAC